CCUACGGGGGGCUGCAGUGGGGAAUAUUGGACAAUGGGGGCAACCCUGAUCCAGCCAUGCCGCGUGUGUGAAGAAGGCCCUCGGGUUGUAAAGCACUUUCAGUGAGGAAGAACGCCUGGUGGUUAAUACCCAUCAGGAAAGACAUCACUCACAGAAGAAGCACCGGCUAACUCCGUGCCAGCAGCCGCGGUAAUACGGAGGGUGCGAGCGUUAAUCGGAAUUACUGGGCGUAAAGCGCGCGUAGGUGGCUUGAUAAGCCGGUUGUGAAAGCCCCGGGCUCAACCUGGGAACGGCAUCCGGAACUGUCGAGCUAGAGUGCAGGAGAGGAAGGUAGAAUUCCCGGUGUAGCGGUGAAAUGCGUAGAGAUCGGGAGGAAUACCAGUGGCGAAGGCGGCCUUCUGGACUGACACUGACACUGAGGUGCGAAAGCGUGGGUAGCAAACAGGAUUAGAUACCCUGGUAGUC
This 465-nucleotide ribosomal RNA is filed under the name Vreelandella stevensii. Its description in RNAcentral is "partial 16S ribosomal RNA". It matches the Rfam family "Bacterial small subunit ribosomal RNA", at positions 338 to 795 of the family's 1533-position model. Lineage: Bacteria; Pseudomonadati; Pseudomonadota; Gammaproteobacteria; Oceanospirillales; Halomonadaceae. The record is from RNAcentral.